CCUAACACAUGCAAGUCGAACGGUAACAGGAAGCAUCUUGCUGCUUCGCUGACGAGUGGCGGACGGGUGAGUAAUGUCUGGGAAGCUGCCUGAUGGAGGGGGAUAACUACUGGAAACGGUAGCUAAUACCGCAUAAUGUCGCAAGACCAAAGAGGGGGACCUUCGGGCCUCUUGCCAUCGGAUGUGCCCAGAUGGGAUUAGCUUGUUGGUGGGGUAACGGCUCACCAAGGCGACGAUCCCUAGCUGGUCUGAGAGGAUGACCAGCCACACUGGAACUGAGACACGGUCCAGACUCCUACGGGAGGCAGCAGUGGGGAAUAUUGCACAAUGGGCGCAAGCCUGAUGCAGCCAUGCCGCGUGUAUGAAGAAGGCCUUCGGGUUGUAAAGUACUUUCAGCGGGGAGGAAGGGAGUAAAGUUAAUACCUUUGCUCAUUGACGUUACCCGCAGAAGAAGCACCGGCUAACUCCGUGCCAGCAGCCGCGGUAAUACGGAGGGUGCAAGCGUUAAUCGGAAUUACUGGGCGUAAAGCGCACGCAGGCGGUUUGUUAAGUCAGAUGUGAAAUCCCCGGGCUCAACCUGGGAACUGCAUCUGAUACUGGCAAGCUUGAGUCUCGUAGAGGGGGGUAGAAUUCCAGGUGUAGCGGUGAAAUGCGUAGAGAUCUGGAGGAAUACCGGUGGCGAAGGCGGCCCCCUGGACGAAGACUGACGCUCAGGUGCGAAAGCGUGGGAGCAAACAGGAUUAGAUACCCUGGUAGUCCACGCCGUAAACGAUGUCGACUUGGAGGUUGUGCCCUUGAGGCGUGGCUUCCGGAGCUAACGCGUUAAGUCGACCGCCCUGGGGAGUACGGCCGCAAGGUUAAAACUCAAAUGAAUUGACGGGGGCCCGCACAAGCGGUGGAGCAUGUGGUUUAAUUCGAUGCAACGCGAAGAACCUUACCUGGUCUUGACAUCCACGGAAGUUUUCAGAGAUGAGAAUGUGCCUUCGGGAACCGUGAGACAGGUGCUGCAUGGCUGUCGUCAGCUCGUGUUGUGAAAUGUUGGGUUAAGUCCCGCAACGAGCGCAACCCUUAUCCUUUGUUGCCAGCGGUCCGGCCGGGAACUCAAAGGAGACUGCCAGUGAUAAACUGGAGGAAGGUGGGGAUGACGUCAAGUCAUCAUGGCCCUUACGACCAGGGCUACACACGUGCUACAAUGGCGCAUACAAAGAGAAGCGACCUCGCGAGAGCAAGCGGACCUCAUAAAGUGCGUCGUAGUCCGGAUUGGAGUCUGCAACUCGACUCCAUGAAGUCGGAAUCGCUAGUAAUCGUGGAUCAGAAUGCCACGGUGAAUACGUUCCCGGGCCUUGUACACACCGCCCGUCACACCAUGGGAGUGGGUUGCAAAAGAAGUAGGUAGCUUAACCUUCGGGAGGGCGCUUACCACUUUGUGAUUCAUGACUGGGGUGAA
Molecule: ribosomal RNA, 1447 nt
Filed under: uncultured organism
Description: 16S ribosomal RNA
Rfam family: Bacterial small subunit ribosomal RNA
Source: RNAcentral